GCCACAGUCAUAUCACCCUGUAGCCCAAGACUGGUUGCCUAUUGAAGCAGGGCUGAGCCUGGUCAGUACCUGGAUGGGAGACCUCCUAGGAAAACUAGGUUGCUGCUGGAA
This 111-nucleotide ribosomal RNA is filed under the name Sinocyclocheilus grahami. Lineage: Eukaryota; Metazoa; Chordata; Actinopteri; Cypriniformes; Cyprinidae. The record is from RNAcentral.